RNAcentral lists this ribosomal RNA (301 nucleotides) under uncultured bacterium. Its description in RNAcentral is "partial 16S ribosomal RNA". It matches the Rfam family "Bacterial small subunit ribosomal RNA", at positions 509 to 807 of the family's 1533-position model. The record is from RNAcentral.
CAGCCGCCGCGGGAAUACGAAGGGUGCAAGCGUUACUCGGAAUUACUGGGCGUAAAGCGUGCGUAGGUGGUGGUUUAAGUCCGUUGUGAAAGCCCUGGGCUCAACCUGGGAAUUGCAGUGGAUACUGGAUCACUAGAGUGUGGUAGAGGAUAGUGGAAUUUCCGGUGUAGCAGUGAAAUGCGUAGAGAUCGGAAGGAACAUCUGUGGCGAAGGCGACUAUCUGGGCCAACACUGACACUGAGGCACGAAAGCGUGGGAAGCAAACAGGAUUAGAUACCCCGGUAGUCCCUGUCUCUUAUAC